AUGUUGGACUGGGGACUGGGGAGUAUUACCAUGUUGUACUGGGGAGUAUUACCAUGUUGGACUGGGGAAUGGGGAGUAUUACCAUGUUUGACUGAGGAGUAUUACCAUGUCGCACUGGGGAGUAUUACCAUCCAUGUUGGACUGGGGAUUAUUACCAUGUUGGACUGGGGAAUGGGGAGUAUUACCAUGUUGGACUGGGGAGUAUUACCAUGUUGGACUGGGGACUGCGGAGUAUUACCAUGUUGGACUGGGGAGUAUUACCAUGUUGGAAUGGGGAGUAUUACCAUGUUGUACUGGGGAGUAUUACCAUGUUGGACUGGGGAAUGGGGAGUAUUAACAUGUUUGACUGGGGAGUAUUACCAUGUUGGUCUGGGGACUGGGGAGUAUUACCAUGUUGGUCUGGGGACUGGGGAGUAUUACCAUGUUGGACUGGGGACUGGGGAGUUUUACCAUGUUGGACUGGGGACUGGGGAGUAUUACCAUGUUGGACUGGGGAGUAUUACCAUGUUGGACUUGGGACUGGGGAGUAUUACCAUGUUGGACUGGGGAGUAUUACCAUGUUGGACUGGGGAGUAUUACCAUGUUGGACUGGGGAGUAUUACCAUGUUGGACUGGGGACUGGGGAGUAUUACCAUGUUGGACUGGGGACUGGGGAGUAUUACCAUGUUGGACUGGGGAGUAUUACCAUGUUGGACUUGGGAAUGGGGAGUAUUACCAUGUUGGACUUGGGAAUGGGGAGUAUUACCAUGUUGGACUGGGGAUUAUUACCAUGUUGGACUGGGGAGUAUUACCAUGUUGGACUGGGGCAUGGGGAGUAUUACCAUGUUGGACUGGGGAGUAUUACCAUGUUGGACUGGGGAGUAUUACCAUGUUGGACUGGGGAGUAUUACCAUGUUGGAGUGGGGAGUAUUACCAUGUUGGAGUGGGGAGUAUUACCAUGUUGGACUGGGGAGUAUUACCAUGUUGGACUGGGGAGUAUUACCAUGUUGGACUGGGGAGUAUUACCAUGUUGGACUGGGGAGUAUUCCCAUGUUGGACUGGGGAGUAUUACCAUGUUGGACUGGGGAGUAUUACCAUGUUGGACUUGGGACUGGGGAGUAUUACCAUGUUGGAAUGGGGAGUAUUACCAUGUUGGACUGGGGAGUAUUACCAUGUUGGACUGGGGACUGGGGAGUAUUACCAUGUUGGACUGGGGAGUAUUACCAUGUUGGACUGGGGAGUAUUACCAUGUAUGACUGGGGAGUAUUAUCAUGUUGGACUGGGGACUAUUACCAUGUUGGACUGGGGAGUAUUACCAUGUUGGACUGGGGAGUAUUACCAUGUUGGACUGGGGAGUAUUACCAUGUUGGACUGGGGAGUAUUACCAUGUUGGACUGGGGAGUAUUACCAUGUUGGACUGGGGAGUAUUACCAUGUUGGACUGGGGAGUAUUACCAUGUUGGACUGGGGAGUAUUACCAUGUUGGACUUGGGACUGGGGAGUAUUACCAUGUUGGACUGGGGAGUGUUACCAUGUUGGACUGGGGAGUAUUACCAUGUUGGACUGGGGAGUAUUACCAUGUUGGACUGGGGAGUAUUACCAUGUUGGACUUGGGACUGGUGAGUAUUACCAUGUUGGACUGGGGAGUAUU
This 1629-nucleotide long non-coding RNA is filed under the name Oncorhynchus kisutch (coho salmon). Its description in RNAcentral is "lncRNA (ENSOKIG00005026360.1)". Lineage: Eukaryota; Metazoa; Chordata; Actinopteri; Salmoniformes; Salmonidae. The record is from RNAcentral.